This is a long non-coding RNA of Chenopodium quinoa (quinoa), 1076 nucleotides long. RefSeq lists it as uncharacterized. The record is from RefSeq and is a predicted model, not a curated record. The transcript has 2 exons. NCBI's taxonomy places the organism in Eukaryota, Viridiplantae, Streptophyta, Magnoliopsida, Caryophyllales, Amaranthaceae.
CGCGCUUCAUCUGACGGCCUAUAUUACGCGCACCAUAUUAAGGGUAUUUUGGUAAUUAUGCUUGUUGAAAGACCUCUAUUCUAAAAUUCUCUCUACGUUCUUACUUUCUCCCUCUACGUUUUUACUUUCUCUCUCUACAUCUGGGCGCUGAAGGCGAUUCCAUUGUUAUUCGUUUUUGUUUUUCGAUUUCAUCGAUUUUCUUAUUUGAUUUCGUAAAUUCUUCGUUGUUCUUCUGCUAUUUUGGUUUUUUUUUUUGUUGUGUUUCGAACAUUCUUGAGAGGUACAAAUACUUGGUCUUAGUGGCCGGUGGCAUUGUUAUAUCUUCCUUUCUUGUCGUCCUAAUUGAUGUCAUGCACCGUCUCAAAGAAGGAAAACCUUGCAUGUCUAAAAACAUCUUUAUUGUUUGGGAUAUCAAAAACUCCGAUGAGCUUCCACUUCUGUCAAUGAUAAAUAUGGAGUCCAUAGACCCCAUUUUUUGUGAUGCCUUAAAUCUCGACAUUAAAAUUUAAGUCACACAACAAUCAGAACCUAAACUGGUAAGUUACCCUUAUGUUGUUAUCUUUAUCCCUAUAUAUUGUAUUAUGUUUUGCACUUCUCGUGUGCAUUUUUCUGUAUAUAUUUGUAACAGAAAGAGGGGAAAGAAUUUGGACCUAUGAACACUUGUACAUAUCCUUUCUCAAAACGCUCUGCUAUAUCAGUUUUGGUUGGUACUAGAGAUAACAUAUGGUCUGGAAUUUACAUCACUGCUUCUUCAAUUGACUUCUUGGUCUUCCUGAGUUUCUUGGAUGCUAUAGUUUGAUACCUGGAUCUGGUUAUAAUUGAUAUUUUGAAAAAGUAGUGUAUUUAGAAGUAAUGUGUGCUAUCAAAUAUGCAAUAUGAACAAACACAUAACUAAAUGAUUGCGUUAGGAAUCAAUUGGAGAUGGUGGCUAAAUUGUCAGUCAUUACAUGAUUUAUUUUGCUGUAAGGAAGAGAGCAGUAGUUUUUGUAUUGUGUUUGAUUGACUCUAAUUAUAAUGCUGGAAAACAAGAAAUUGUACUUCGUAUACUAUAUAGAUGUUUUGAUUUACUUUUGAUA